ACGGAAUAGAUACCCUGGUAGUCCCAGCCGUAAACGAUGCUCGCUAGGUGUCAGGCAUGGCGCGACCGUGUCUGGUGCCGCAGGGAAGCCGUGAAGCGAGCCACCUGGGAAGUACGGCCACAAGGCUGAAACUUAAAGGAAUUGGCGGGGGAGCACAACAACGGGUGGAGCCUGCGGUUUAAUUGGACUCAACGCCGGACAACUCACCGGGGGCGACAGCAAUAUGUAGGCCAAGCUGAAGACUUUGCCUGAAUCGCUGAGAGGAGGUGCAUGGCCGUCGCCAGUUCGUACUGUGAAGCAUCCUGUUAAGUCAGGCAACGAGCGAGACCCGUGCCCACUGUUACCAGCAUGUCCUGGUAGU
This 361-nucleotide ribosomal RNA is filed under the name uncultured bacterium. RNAcentral's name for it is "bacterial SSU rRNA". It matches the Rfam family "Archaeal small subunit ribosomal RNA", at positions 723 to 1084 of the family's 1478-position model. The record is from RNAcentral.